This 384-nucleotide ribosomal RNA is filed under the name uncultured Methanomicrobiales archaeon. RNAcentral describes it as "bacterial SSU rRNA". It matches the Rfam family "Archaeal small subunit ribosomal RNA", at positions 339 to 727 of the family's 1478-position model. The record is from RNAcentral. Lineage: Archaea; Methanobacteriati; Methanobacteriota; Methanomicrobia; Methanomicrobiales.
GCGCGAAAACUUUACAAUGCGGGAAACCGUGAUAAGGGAACUCCGAGUGCCCGUAAAAUCGGGCUGUCCAUCUGUUUAAAUAACAGGUGAAGAAAGGGCCGGGCAAGACCGGUGCCAGCCGCCGCGGUAAUACCGGCGGCUCGAGUGGUGGCCACUAUUACUGGGCUUAAAGCGUUCGUAGCUGGUUUGUUAAGUCUCUGGGGAAAUCUGCCGGCUCAACCGGCAGGCGUUCCAGGGAUACUGGCAGACUAGGGACCGGGAGAGGUGAGGGGUACUCCAGGGGUAGGAGUGAAAUCCUGUAAUCCUUGGGGGACCACCUGUGGCGAAGGCGCCUCACCAGAACGGCUCCGACAGUGAGGGACGAAAGCUGGGGGAGCAAACCGG